UGAGAACGGAUAUAUAUAUAUAUAUAUCAAGUGGCAUGGAAUCCAUAUCCAUAUUAUCAGAAUCUAUAAAGGAGCUAGCCACUACUAACAAGAUUCACAGUAUAGUAUUAAGUGGUCAUACGCAUACAUGCAAGUAGUACUCCUACUACUAGCUACUUUUGUUAUAUUCUUAUUCUAUGUACUGAUCACUCCUAGCAACUAAACUUUUAACUAAAAAUCUCGAUCUCUUAUAUAAAGGCAGCUAAUUAACAGGCAACCCUUGGUAUCAGCAGAAUUGAAUCCAAAUUGAUGAUUGCUUCUUCGAUUCUUCAUGGCUCAGAUAGAUGAGCUUGAGGUGCAGACAGAGAUCAAGUCCAGCCCUGACAAGUUUUAUGGCUUCUUGAAAAACAAUAUCAAGGGCCUGGCCAAUAUCUUUCCUCAACGUAUUACUAGUGUUGAAUUACUUGAAGGAGAGGAAGGCUCUGCAGGCUCUGUCCAGAAUUUUAAAUAUGUAAUUGGUAAGAAUAUUGAUAUAUAUACUUAUAACACUAGCUAACUAACUAGUUGUAGCAUUAUAUAUAUAUAUGUUUACUUUGCGAUGAACGUUGUAUAUAUCGUACUAUAUACUUAUUACAAAGAAACCGUAUCUAUAUACGCUUACUUCACAACGUGCAAUUAAUCUUUUUUUAUUUUAGUUCAACAUUACAAUUACUGCAGCUCUAGCUAGUUGACUUGUUACUAAAAACAUAUAUAUGUGUGUAUAUAUAUAUAUAUAUAUAUAUAUAUAUAUAUAUAUAUAUAUAUAUAUAUAAAGCCUAGUUAUUUAUUUCAGCAGGUUGUGAUCGCUAGAUUUAAUAUCCUAAUUUUCUUAAGGUUGCUGAAUUCCAAAAAAGAAUAAAAGAAAGAAAAGGAACUCUUGUUACCCAAAGAUGGAGAUCAUCUAACAUUACCCCUCGGUUCAUAACAACCUAGUGUGUAAGGCGCCCUUCCAUAUGUAUAAUAAAUUAAUGGCUAUUAAUAUCAAAAAAAUCUCUUGUGGUACAUGAUUAAUAAAUCCAUGUAUUAUAUAUGACGUGUAAGACAUAAUCACAUAUAUAAAGAAGUUCAUCAAUAUUAAUAUUGAUUUAAAAUUUUAUUACUAUUCAUGUACUUAUUAAUUACUUCUCUCUCAAUUAUUUCAUCUUGAUGAGAUUAUUUAGGGAUAAAAUAGGAAAUAAAAAUAUAUAUUUUUAAAAUAUAUGUAAAACGUCUUAUAUUAUGGGGAAAAAAAUUCCUUCUAAACCAUCAUAUAUAUAUAUAUAUAUAUAUAUAUAUAUAUAGAGCCGUUUAAAAACGGACUGAAUAAGCGGACUAAAGAACGGACCAAAGCAACAACGAGCCGAAGCAAAAAAAACAUGCGGGUUGAGUUUUGGGUCGAAAAAAUACGCGGGUUGAGCUUUGGGUCGAAAAAACACGCAGGUUGAAAUAAAACCAAAGCAAAGAUCAGAUGCAAAACUUUCAUUUUCUCUCUCCAACUUUUCCCUCCCUCUCCCCUCUUUCAUAGGAUAUCGGUAGCAGACGGAAGAGUUAAGGUAAAGGCCAACGAAAGGUCUCCAUAGCAAACGGAUCGAAAGGUAAAGUUCCAUAAUUUUAUUGGGUUUGUAAUUUUUGUUUAUCGCGUUAAAAAUCUAGGGUUUGUUCUUUACUUUCUGACCCUUAAAGAGUCUCAUCUUCGUCGUUGGGAGAGUCAGUGGCGUCGGCGUCGAUAACAGAUAUCGUACAACUCGUGGCCCGCCGGUAUUCAGUUCGGUCAUCUUCGUCUUCUUUCCGGAGAUACCUUCUGUCGUCGUAGUUUGUAUUUUGUGCCUUGAUAGAGUCGUCUGUCUAAUACAGGAGAUACUAAGGUGUGUCUCUUUGAUGUUAUAACAAGAAUAUGUUUUGUUUUCAUGAUUAUUGGAAUUUUAUGAUCUUCUAGUUCUACUGCUGCUGUAAUUAUUUUUCUUGUUAAAUGUGUUACUGAUAAAUACUCCCUCUUUUCCUUUUUAAUUGAUGUCUUAAGACUAAGCACAAGAAAUGUAAUUAAUGCUUUAUCUAAUUUAAUAAAUUGGGUAUAAACUAUCAAUUAUCACCCUUCUAAAAUUUAUUAGCAAGAUGAGAGAAAAGAUGGAAAGUUAUCCCAUUAGAGUAAAUUAGUUCAAAAGAUGAGAGGGAAACAAAUUUGUAUUAAUAAUUAGGGAUAUAUAUAUAAGAAUCUACAAACCACAUAUAAAAAGGAACAAAAAUUUCUCUUAAAAAAGACAAUUGAAAAGGAACAGAGAGAGUGCUUUUAAUUUGUGUCGGAAAAUUCUAUAUAUGUUUGCCUUAAAAUUAUGAGCAAUAAAUGGAGAGUUCUUCCUUUGAUGAUAAUAAACUACUGUAGCCAUAUCCUCUCAUUCAACUAAAUGAUAAUAAAUGGAGAAUUCUAUACAUGUUUGCUUUUAGAUGGUGAUUUUUGUCUAUUGUUUUAGUUUUCAGGUUCUACAUUUUUUGGUUUUUGUGUGACCUGUCACAUUCUAUGGCGUCUUAAUUGUAAUACUAGCUUUUUGGGGGUACCAGGUAAAAGAAUGCUAAUAAAACAUAUAUAUAAAGUAAGGGCUGCAUAGAUGCAACUAUGGGUAGUUGCUUAAGUAGUCCUUAUGUAACGAAUCAUAUGCUUUCAUUAAAUUAAGGCACAUUUAGAUGUUCUUGAUCUUUAUAGUAAUUGUUAAAAGUGAUACUUUCAUUAUCCUGUAUUGAACUCUAAUUUCAUUUUUCUUUCACCUGUACAUCCAUUUAUUGUGCCAAUAUCUGCACAUGCUUAUUGUUUUAGAGCUUGCUUGCCGUAUUUCCUAACCUAUAAGCUUGAUGAUGCAGAAUUUGUAUAAUUCAAAAGUCAGGAAAGUGGUGGUGGCACUAAUUCAAGGUCAGUGCAGUAUAGAUUUUUGUGAAAGGGAAAAUUAGCAGCUUAUGAUGUAACAUUCCAUAUUUUUUGAAAGAUUUUGUUGGCAAAUAAUGGUACAAAGUUUUUUUUAUUGUUAUUUUGUUGUCUUUUCUCAUAGUUUCAUAUAAUAUCUGAAUUUACACGUCUUUUUUUAUGAUGUAAUGUUUUGGUAAAAUUGCAUAGCAAGAAAAUUAGUGUACGACAACAAGACAGGUAAUUUUGUCUUUGAUGGAUGCUAAAUAAUUUCAUUUUGUUUUGCCAUCAUUUAAUUCGUCUAUUCUAUUGAAAAUGGAUUUAGAAAGUUGGGUAUAACUCCUGAAGAUCAAAAGAAGUUCAGCCAUAAUGUAGUAUACUUUUUCUUUUGGAAAAGCAACUACCAAUCUCAUACUUAAUUCUUGUCCCUAAAAGAUUGAAGCACAAUCUUUAUAAUUGUGCUUUAUAAAUUAUAAGUAUCAAACACACAAG
Molecule: long non-coding RNA, 3382 nt
Filed under: Panax ginseng (ginseng)
Lineage: Eukaryota; Viridiplantae; Streptophyta; Magnoliopsida; Apiales; Araliaceae
Description: long non-coding RNA (PGIN_LNC016136)
Source: RNAcentral